Molecule: ribosomal RNA, 482 nt
Filed under: uncultured bacterium
Lineage: Bacteria
Description: partial 16S ribosomal RNA
Rfam family: Bacterial small subunit ribosomal RNA
Source: RNAcentral
AUUGAACGCUGGCGGCAUGCCUUACACAUGCAAGUCGAACGGUAACAGGUCUUCGGUUGCUGACGAGUGGCGAACGGGUGAGUAAUACAUCGGAACGUGCCCGAUCGUGGGGGAUAACGUGGCGAAAGCUUUGCUAAUACCGCAUACGAUCUACGGAUGAAAUCGGGGGAUCUUCGGACCUCGCGCGGACGGAGCGGCCGAUGGCAGAUUAGGUAGUUGGUGGGAUAAAAGCUUACCAAGCCGACGAUCUGUAGCUGGUCUGAGAGGAUGAUCAGCCACACUGGGACUGAGACACGGCCCAGACUCCUACGGGAGGCAGCAGUGGGGAAUUUUGGACAAUGGGCGAAAGCCUGAUCCAGCCAUGCCGCGUGCAGGAUGAAGGCCUUCGGGUUGUAAACUGCUUUUGUACGGAACGAAAAGCCUCUUUCUAAUAAAGAGGGGUCAUGACGGUACCGUAAGAAUAAGCACCGGCUAACUACGUG